This 240-nucleotide long non-coding RNA is filed under the name Lathyrus oleraceus (garden pea). RNAcentral's name for it is "Pisum sativum (pea) long non-coding RNA (PSAT_LNC028286)". Lineage: Eukaryota; Viridiplantae; Streptophyta; Magnoliopsida; Fabales; Fabaceae. The record is from RNAcentral.
AUGUUAUACUGAUUUGUCCAUGACAGCAAAAUGACAUAAACAUCAAUACAAAGAGGUAUUUGUCCAUGACCGCAAAAUGACAUAAACAUCAUAACAAAAAACAGCAAAAUGACCCUAAGUGAAACUAGGCUUGAGAUGGUUAUGUAUUUUGUGAUGUAUGUGAUGAGCUUUCGAUCUUUGUUGCACAUGUCUUUUUUUUCUUCUUAUUUCCACCCUUUGAUGCACAUGACUCCUCUUCUU